UCUAAACACGUAUAAAUGAUUUUCUCAUAGGAGCGCUGAGGAACACAGCCUGCAGACGAGACCGCAGGUUUACAGGGAAUUCAUUAAACUCUGGUUCAGUCUGUCCUAUCCUUGAUGUUUCUAUACUGCAUCAAAGUCCAACCAUUCAGCAUUCUUUAAAGCUCAGUUUGCUCUAUAAUUCAUGAAUCUGAGAUUUUGCGCUGGUCUCGCUCUGUGGCUUGCUUCCAGGAAGGGCAGGAGAGUUCAAAUGCCUGCUGAUAAACACUCAGGAUACUUAGCACACCAUAACUCAUAUAGACGCGUGCGUAUCUGUGUGCAUGCUCUAACCUGAGUGUUACAGUAACAGAGCGGGACAGAUGGACACUCACUGAAGGUUUCUAUCAGUCUGAUGGUUCCCAGGUUUGCUAUACACUGCAUCUGAGGAAGAACCAGAUACUGGACUUGACAGAGGUUGAGGUCUACAAACCCUGCAUGUCAAGUGCUUUCUCCGUGCUAAGAUGGUGAGAACAGAGGUGCCAGAUCAGUUUCCAUGACUCCCCUGCAGACCGCCAGCGAUGAGUUGCAGUGAAC
Molecule: long non-coding RNA, 570 nt
Organism: Onychostoma macrolepis
Lineage: Eukaryota; Metazoa; Chordata; Actinopteri; Cypriniformes; Cyprinidae
Exons: 3
Source: RefSeq, a predicted model, not a curated record